Tarenaya hassleriana is the source of this 547-nucleotide long non-coding RNA. RefSeq lists it as uncharacterized. The transcript has 2 exons. The record is from RefSeq and is a predicted model, not a curated record. NCBI's taxonomy places the organism in Eukaryota, Viridiplantae, Streptophyta, Magnoliopsida, Brassicales, Cleomaceae.
UGUAUGUAUGUAUAUAUGUACGUGCAGUUAUCAGAAGGGUAUCAGAUGCCAUUGCAGCUUAACCCUCACCCCGAAGAAAUCGGCUAUGGCCGCCAACCACAGCACGACGCCUUCUUCCACCCCUUGGAUUCUGAGCCUAUCCUCCAAAUCGGGUACCAACAGCAGCAAGAUGUGAUGAAUGCAGCAGCAGCAGCAGGUGCAGGGCCGAGCGUGAAUAACUAUAUGCUUGGUUGGUUACCUUAUGACAACAAUUGAAAUUGUGUCAAAUGAGGGCUUUUUUAAUUGUUUAUAACAUUUUUAAUUAAAAGUGUUACACUUUUAAUUAAUUUUCUUGGGGGUUUAAAAUCUUUUAAAAAAAACAUCGGUCCAAUCUCCUGUUGGUGGGUCGAUAUCUGUUUUGUGUUCGAGCUUCCAUAUUUGUGUGCGUGUGUGUGUAAUGUAAUGCAUAAGCUGUUUUUUUUUUCUGCUUCGUUGUUUAAUGUCUCAACAAUAAUACUAUAUUUUUGUUUUGUAUCUUUUUUUUCCCUUACAUGAACUUGAUCAAUAA